UACGUAGGGGGCAAGCGUUGUCCGGAAUCAUUGGGCGUAAAGAGCGUGUAGGCGGCCAGAAAAGUCCGCUGUGAAAACUCGAGGCUCAACUUCGAGCUGUCGGUGGAAACUUUCUGGCUAGAGUCCGGAAGAGGAGAAUGGAAUUCCUGGUGUAGCGGUGAAAUGCGCAGAUAUCAGGAAGAACACCCGUGGCGAAGGCGGUUCUCUGGGGACGGUACUGACGCUGAGACGCGAAAGCGUGGGGAGCAAACAGG
This 254-nucleotide ribosomal RNA is filed under the name uncultured bacterium. RNAcentral describes it as "partial 16S ribosomal RNA". It matches the Rfam family "Bacterial small subunit ribosomal RNA", at positions 524 to 776 of the family's 1533-position model. The record is from RNAcentral.